Ahaetulla prasina is the source of this 623-nucleotide long non-coding RNA. RefSeq lists it as uncharacterized. The record is from RefSeq and is a predicted model, not a curated record. Lineage: Eukaryota; Metazoa; Chordata; Lepidosauria; Squamata; Colubridae. The transcript has 3 exons.
UCCAAAAUCCCACAUAUCAGUGCUUACAUGGUCAAAAAAUUGACCUAUAAAAUAUCUUCCCCCUGGGUCUUUUUUUUUUCUUUUUAGUUCCAAAUGAGCUAUUGGAUCCCUGUGUCUCACAUUUGAUGUGGUUAGUGGGGAAGGUGAAGGCAUCCUUUGAAAGACCGGUAGUGGGAGCAAGAAUUGCAGUUCACUACUACCUCAAGGCAAGAAGCACAGCUGUGUUGUGUAGUACAAAAGGAUUUCUGAGAAGAAGAGUUUAAGACACUAGCCCAGGGGUCAGCAGCCCGCAGCUCUGGAGCCGCAUGUAGCAGUUGUCAGCAUUCCAGAAAACCCCUCCUGCAGAAAAGACUCUGAAGCCAACAUCUCUCAAAGUUCUUUUACUAGCAUAGAGAGAACUCUUUCAGUUGGUGGAGAGAACUCUUCUGGCUACAAAAAAACAGGAGGAAUAACAGACUAGUCCAUCUGAUACAGGCAAUCUACUCUUAAGCAUUGUUGGAAGAAAUGUCCGUCUGGAUUCAGUUCCAAGUGGGAAGACAGACACUGGAAACAUGGAAGCUGAUUGGAAAGAUGGUUUAAUGGUGAAGCAUGCGUGAUUCUGGGUACCUGACCACAUGGAGUUG